UUGCUUUGGCAGCACAUAUACUAAAAUUGGAACAAUACACAAAAGAUUAGCAUGGCCCCUGUAUAAGGAUGACACACAAAUUCGUGAAGCGUUCCAUAUUUUU
RNAcentral lists this small nuclear RNA (103 nucleotides) under Chinchilla lanigera (long-tailed chinchilla). Lineage: Eukaryota; Metazoa; Chordata; Mammalia; Rodentia; Chinchillidae. The record is from RNAcentral.